UCAUUGCUGGAACAAACGCCCUCGCGGGUGCUACCCAGAAACCCUUUGUGCAUACUACCUAAAACGUUGCCUCGGCAGUGGUUGGCCUCUCCAGAGGCCCCUUCUCGCGGGAAGGAGCAGACCGGCCGGUGGCCCUUAUAAACUCUUGUUUUUGUAAUAUCAUCUGAGUAAAACAACUAAAAUGAAUCAAAACUUUCAACAACGGAUCUCUUGGUUCUGGCAUCGAUGAAGAACGCAGCGAAAUGCGAUAAGUAAUGUGAAUUGCAGAAUUCAGUGAAUCAUCGAAUCUUUGAACGCACAUUGCGCCCGGUGGUAUUCCACCGGGCAUGCCUGUUCGAGCGUCAUUUCAACCCUCAAAGCCCCAGGCUUUGGUGUUGGAGGCGUACCCUGUCAAAAGGGUACCCUCUGAAAUUUAGUGGCGGGCUCGCUAGAAUUUUGAGCGUAGUAAUUUCACCUCGUUUGUAAACACUAGUGGGACUUUCUUGCCGUAAAACCCCCCCAACUU
Molecule: ribosomal RNA, 505 nt
Filed under: Plagiostoma acerophilum
Lineage: Eukaryota; Fungi; Ascomycota; Sordariomycetes; Diaporthales; Gnomoniaceae
Description: eukaryotic LSU rRNA
Rfam family: 5.8S ribosomal RNA (bases 191-344)
Source: RNAcentral